GUCACGCCCCGGACCCGGAUCCGUGACACGGCCGUGCUAUUGCCGACUACCGCCCACAAUAGCACGCAGCCUCAUACAUGGGUAACAGGGUAGUCAAAAGCAGUCAAACUUGCAUAUAUCAAAAUAUGUGCAUUACAACAGAGGGUAUCUAUAAGGUACAGAGCUUCUACAUAGUUUAUAUACACAAAAGUAUAUUCAUAUCAUCCCAAAAAUAAAGAAGCCCUGUUGCAAAAGAAAAAUGCUUCUAGCAGCUGUCACUGGUGGUGAUCUGAAAAAAAAUGUAAAUGAACAGACAUGAGCUACACGGCUCAGUAAGUAAUCCUGUAUAAUCUUGUUGAAUCAACUAAAAAUGCUAACCAUGCUUAUCAGGGUUUGAGAAGCUGACAUGUAUGCUAUCUAAUAAAUCAUCAUGAUAAAAUAUCCCUGCUGAGUAAAUAAUUCAGUAUCCUACAUUAUCAAGGAAUCUUGUAUAUGCAUAUAUAUAUAUAAAGAAAAAUCGUGCCGCCGGCAUGCCGUGGUCAUACUCUCAUAUGCUACUGCAAAGUCGUUAUCGGCCACUGGC
RNAcentral lists this long non-coding RNA (562 nucleotides) under Phoenix dactylifera (date palm). RNAcentral's name for it is "long non-coding RNA (PDAC_LNC003634)". The record is from RNAcentral. Lineage: Eukaryota; Viridiplantae; Streptophyta; Magnoliopsida; Arecales; Arecaceae.